RNAcentral lists this ribosomal RNA (253 nucleotides) under uncultured bacterium. RNAcentral describes it as "partial 16S ribosomal RNA". It matches the Rfam family "Bacterial small subunit ribosomal RNA", at positions 524 to 776 of the family's 1533-position model. The record is from RNAcentral.
CACGUAGGGUGCGAGCGUUGUUCGGAUUCAUUGGGCGUAAAGGGUGCGUAGGUGGCGGGGUAAGUUGGAUGUGAAAUCUCGGGGCUCAACCCCGAAACUGCAUUCAAUACUGCUCCGCUCGAGUUCUGUAGAGGAGAUUGGAAUUUACGGUGUAGCAGUGAAAUGCGUAGAUAUCGUAAGGAACGCCAGUGGCGAAAGCGAAUCUCUGGGCAGCAACUGACGCUGAGGCACGAAGGCCAGGGGAGCAAACGGG